AACAAACAGACUGGAGAGAAUGGUCCAAAUAAUGCGGCUCGGGCUCAAUUUUGAUUUUCGAGUUGUUGUCAGAAAUGUUUUUGGCUUUUUGUUGGGCUUUCAACGCCUGCGCAAAAGUCAAGCGGUACAAGCGUCAUAAAUUGAACUACAACAUGCCAGCCAGUCAGACAGUCAGACAGCCAGCGAGACAAUAUACCAAAUGCCCGUAAAUCGACCAGAGAGCAACACGAACACUUUUGUCGUGCAUUUUGCGCCACACCCAGUAAACAAUUUAGUCAAUAUACAGUGCCGAUAUGCAUCAGCUCGUGGGUCGGUGUCUUUCUAUGCUAAACAGUCUGCUCUCGGCUCUAACUUAUUGAAUUUCACACGCAAAAUGGAGUAUGUCCCAUCGAUAAGCCCCCAGUUCCAGCAAGGUGAUCCGGAGAACCCCACCUAGAUCUCGAUGGGGCUCGAUGGUCGGUCAUGUGAGUCCGAUGCAGUUGGCUCCCCGCCCGAUUCUGUUUCAGAUCUGAUCACUCAGAGUCUCUGCCGACAAAGCCGCCAAAUUGCAGACACACAACCUUCAACACCAGCUCCAGCUGUGAUCUAAUGUAUUUGAUCUUGAUACGACUGUCAGAUAUAUAAAAACCUAUGCUGAAAAGGUUUAAAUAAAAAUUAAAUAGAA
Drosophila ananassae is the source of this 664-nucleotide long non-coding RNA. RefSeq lists it as uncharacterized. The transcript has 2 exons. Lineage: Eukaryota; Metazoa; Arthropoda; Insecta; Diptera; Drosophilidae. The record is from RefSeq and is a predicted model, not a curated record.